RNAcentral lists this transfer RNA (71 nucleotides) under Camelus bactrianus (Bactrian camel). It matches the Rfam family "tRNA". From Rfam's summary of the family: Transfer RNA (tRNA) molecules are approximately 80 nucleotides in length. Their secondary structure includes four short double-helical elements and three loops (D, anti-codon, and T loops). RNAcentral also lists the same sequence under 2 other names. The record is from Rfam by way of RNAcentral. Lineage: Eukaryota; Metazoa; Chordata; Mammalia; Artiodactyla; Camelidae.
GGGGUUAUAGUUCAGUGGUAGAGUGCCUGCUUAGCAUGCACAAGGUCCUGGGUUCAAUCCCCAGUACCUCA